This is a long non-coding RNA of Ochotona curzoniae (black-lipped pika), 797 nucleotides long. RefSeq lists it as uncharacterized. The record is from RefSeq and is a predicted model, not a curated record. The transcript is spliced from 4 exons. NCBI's taxonomy places the organism in Eukaryota, Metazoa, Chordata, Mammalia, Lagomorpha, Ochotonidae.
CGACUCAGCCUUCCUGAGCAUUUGGAUUCUGCUCCUCAUUCCAGACUGCCUGUAAGACGAGUCUCUCCUAUUGGUUGGCCUGAAGGGCGGUGAACACGGGUUCAACCUGAAACUGGUUGCAGCACAGGGCUAAUGCUCAGUGGCGGCUUGUUCCCCUGGAUAAUAUUUGCUGAUAAAGAACUCCCUUUGGUGCAUCCUGAACAAAGCCAAGCAGUAUCUCAGAAACAGAACCUUCAAUCUGCGUCUCCCACAAGCGAAAGGCUCAAAGUGAAGAAGCUCUGAGAUGUUGCUGCCUUCCAUGUCUGUUCUGAGGCUGAAGUGUACUACACUCAGAAAAAUCAGCCCUGGCGAACUUGGAGUGAUCUUCUUGACCUGUUGCCUGGAGGAGAAGCCUAAUGCAAGGGACUGGAGAAGUGUUGGAAGGAAAUCAAGAGUGCAUGGAGACUUUCUCACAGUCAAUUGCCGGAAGGACUCAAUUUGGACAUUACGUGACUUAUCUGGACAAUGUAUGACUUCAACUGGCAGAGGAGACUGGCUGGGGGGCCCCUGAGACUUGCCCAGUUUUCUCUGUGUUCUGUGCAGUAAGACCGGCAGUCCACACAGUGUAGAUUUACAAGUGUCCAGCAAAGACGUUACUAAGGGGAAAGCACUCCCCCGGGGAGCUUUGGGGGCACCCAUUCACGGUGUGCAUGCUGUGGCCCUCGGGAGAAAGUGUGUAGGGUUCCUACCACUUCUACCACUAUCUCUCUCUUCUUCAUUUUGGUGCAACUUUUUUCUUUUUAUUUUUUGGUGCAAAU